GACGAACGCUGGCGGCGUGCUUUAGACAUGCAAGUCGAACGAGAUCUUCGGAUCUAGUGGCGAACGGCGGAGUAAUACAUAAACAACGUGCCCUGAAGACUGGGAUAUACGGUCGAAAGGCCGAGCAAUACCGGAUGUGGCCGAGACUAGGCAUCUAGACUCGAUUAAAUGGUUUUCGCUUCAGGAGCGGUUUAUGACUCAUCAGCUAGUUGGUAGGGUAAUGGCCUACCAAGGCUACGACGGGUAGGGGGUCUGAGAGGAUGAUCCCCCGAGUGGGACUGAGACACGGCCACACACCUACGGUGGCAGCAGUUUGGAAUCUUGCCCAAUGGGGGAAGGCCCUGAGGCAGCGACGCCGCGUGGAGGAUGAAGGA
This 374-nucleotide ribosomal RNA is filed under the name uncultured bacterium. Its description in RNAcentral is "bacterial SSU rRNA". It matches the Rfam family "Bacterial small subunit ribosomal RNA", at positions 28 to 415 of the family's 1533-position model. The record is from RNAcentral.